RNAcentral lists this small RNA (465 nucleotides) under Pan troglodytes (chimpanzee). RNAcentral's name for it is "processed transcript". The record is from RNAcentral. Lineage: Eukaryota; Metazoa; Chordata; Mammalia; Primates; Hominidae.
GGCGGUGGCUGCCGUGGCGGCUGAGAGUCCAGAGCCGGACGUUCCGGCCGCUUCGGGCUGGCGGCUGGAGAGCGCUCGGGUCAUGUCUGCCCAGGGGGACUGCGAGUUCCUGGUGCAGCGAGCCCGGGAGUUGGUGCCGCAAGACCUGUGGGCAGCCAAGGCGUGGCUGAUCACGGCCCGCAGCCUCUACCCGGCAGACUUUAACAUCCAGUAUGAGAUGUACACCAUCGAGCGGAAUGCAGAGCGGACCGCCACCGCCGGGAGGCUGCUGUACGACAUGUUUGUGAAUUUCCCAGACCAGCCGGUGGUGUGGAGAGAAAUCAGCAUUAUUACAUCAGCAUUAAGGAACGAUUCACAGGACAAACAAACCCAAUUUUUAAGAAGUUGGCCUUGGGGAGGCACUAUUAGAGGCUGAAACUAUUGAAGAACAAGAAUCUCCAGUGAACUGCUUUAGAAAAUUAUUUG